This 1262-nucleotide long non-coding RNA is filed under the name Capra hircus (goat). Its description in RNAcentral is "lncRNA (ENSCHIG00000001693.1)". The record is from RNAcentral. Lineage: Eukaryota; Metazoa; Chordata; Mammalia; Artiodactyla; Bovidae.
CCCCGCCCCACGUGCAGGACUUCCGGCGGGCUGGCUGGAUUCUUGUGGAGACCUGAUCCCCGAUCGUGCUUACAAUGGGGAGCCCGUACGCGCCCACGGGGGGCUGAGCGCUCAGCUGUGAGCAGAGCGGCCGGGGCGGGCUCUGGCCAAACGACCUCCAAAAUCUUGGGCUGCACCCGGGGCCGUGUCUUAGGUAACAGAUCCGGCUCUGCCUGACUCGGGGGCGAUGGGACCAGACCCUUGCUCAAUCCCCAUGGCCAUCCUUACCCCUGCGCGGGAUCAGGAGCUGGAGAAGGCCCAGGAAGCUGCCCCAGCGAUCGGGGCACCCCCUGGGUCCUCACGGACCCCCACUGGAGGGCUAAAGAGACAAGGGGCAGCACCUACUCCACCCGUUGGCUCCACCACACCUUCGCCCCGUCCUGACAGCCUUCUCUGAAGACAGAACGGGUUGUAAAGGGAGAAACAGUCCCACGUUCCCCCAGUCCACACUCUCAGAUGAGUCCCCAAGAUUGAGCAACUUGCCUUUCAAAACAAGCCGGAAGGGGAGUGACUGCUGUAAAUAUACCAAUUCACACCAGUGAAGCUUAGACAUUUCUGGACUAAACACUUGACGGUCUGCCCUUGGUUUGUGUCCCCACGUGGCCGCUGUGCACCCAGGGGCCAGAGUCUGGAGGCCUGAGAAUAAGAUGAAGCAGACGUGGAAGGGCCCUCCCGCUACCUCCAGGCAAGCCAUAUCCGUGAGCGUCUUUGUCAUUCGGAGGUGUUGAAAGAUGUGACAGCCAGUCUGAUGGCAGUGUUCCGGGGGCAUGAGCGCUAAAAAGCUCCAGGAUACACACGCUCUGUUCAAAGACUGCCUUCCAGCCCGGCUCCGAGCUUCUCCCUAAUCAGCCGCUCGGUCCACGCACUGCAGUGUUUGAUGCGCGUGCCCCGAAGGACUUGCCCGUUUUUCGGUGGCGUCCUGGGAUUCGUGCUCGGGCGAAUGGCCAGAGCCCCAUGAUAAAACCAGCAGUCCCACACCUGCAGCCCUUCAGAAGGGCCUUGAAAAAGAGGCCCGGCUCUGAGAGAUGCCAGAACUAAAUUGGAGGGCAGAACUCCUGCCUAAAAUAAAGACCGUGGGAACGGCUUUCUUCUGUAGCCGGAGAAUCAAAGUGUUUUCAUUUAAAAUCGACCUAAGUUGGAAUGGCUACCUUUGAUCACCACCUCUGGGCUACAGAGCCUUGGCUCGGUGCCCUAGAAAGGAUGGCGUUCCGGGCAGAGGGGGA